RNAcentral lists this ribosomal RNA (253 nucleotides) under uncultured bacterium. Its description in RNAcentral is "partial 16S ribosomal RNA". It matches the Rfam family "Bacterial small subunit ribosomal RNA", at positions 524 to 776 of the family's 1533-position model. The record is from RNAcentral.
GACAGAGGUGCCAAGCGUUAGGCGGAAUCACUGGGCUUAAAGCGUGUGUAGGCGGGUGCCUAAGUACCUUGUGAAAUCCCCCGGCUCAACCGGGGAACGGCUGGGUAUACUGGGUGCCUUGGGUCAUCUAGGGGCUGCCGGAACAAAUGGUGGAGCGGUGAAAUGCGUAGAUAUCAUUUGGAACGCCAACGGCGAAAGCAGGCAGCUGGGGAUGCACCGACGCUGAGACACGAAAGCCGGGGGAGCGAACGGG